GCGAACGGGUGAGUAACACGUGAGGAACCUGCCCCGAAGACCGGGAUAACGCCGGGAAACUGGUGCUAAUACCGGAUGCCCUCGCCGGAUCGCAUGGUCUGGCGAAGAAAUGGAUUCCGCUUCGGGAUGGCCUCGCGGCCUAUCAGCUAGUUGGUGGGGUAACGGCCCACCAAGGCGACGACGGGUAGCUGGUCUGAGAGGAUGUCCAGCCACACUGGGACUGAGACACGGCCCAGACUCCUACGGGAGGCAGCAGCUAGGAAUCUUGCGCAAUGGACGAAAGUCUGACGCAGCGACGCCGCGUGCGGGAUGAAGGCCUUAGGGUCGUAAACCGCUUUCAGCAGGGACGAAAUUGACGGUACCUGCAGAAGAAGCCCCGGCCAACUACGUGCCAGCAGCCGCGGUAAUACGUAGGGGGCGAGCGUUGUCCGGAUUUAUUGGGCGUAAAGAGCUCGUAGGCGGUUUGGUAAGUUGGAUGUGAAAUCUCCAGGCUCAACUUGGAGGGGUCAUUCGAUACUGCCAUGACUAGAGUUCGGUAGGGGAGUGUGGAAUUCCUGGUGGAGCGGUGAAAUGCGCAGAUAUCAGGAGGAACACCCGUAGCGAAGGCGGCACUCUGGGCCGGA
This 623-nucleotide ribosomal RNA is filed under the name uncultured bacterium. RNAcentral's name for it is "bacterial SSU rRNA". It matches the Rfam family "Bacterial small subunit ribosomal RNA", at positions 98 to 738 of the family's 1533-position model. The record is from RNAcentral.